AGUGAACGCUGGCGGUAGGCCUAACACAUGCAAGUCGAACGGCAGCACAGUAAGAGCUUGCUCUUACUGGUGGCGAGUGGCGGACGGGUGAGGAAUACAUCUGAAUCUACUUUUUCGUGGGGGAUAACGUAGGGAAACUUACGCUAAUACCGCAUACGACCUACGGGUGAAAGCAGGGGACCUUCGGACCUUGCGCGAUUGAAUGAGCCGAUGUCGGAUUAGCUAGUUGGCGGGGUAAAGGCCCACCAAGGCGACGAUCCGUAGCUGGUCUGAGAGGAUGAUCAGCCACACUGGAACUGAGACACGGUCCAGACUCCUACGGGAGGCAGCAGUGGGGAAUAUUGGACAAUGGGCGCAAGCCUGAUCCAGCCAUACCGCGUGGGUGAAGAAGGCCUUCGGGUUGUAAAGCCCUUUUGUUGGGAAAGAAAAGCAGCAGGUUAAUACCCCGCUGUUCUGACGGUACCCAAAGAAUAAGCACCGGCUAACUUCGUG
Molecule: ribosomal RNA, 492 nt
Filed under: uncultured bacterium
Lineage: Bacteria
Description: partial 16S ribosomal RNA
Rfam family: Bacterial small subunit ribosomal RNA
Source: RNAcentral